GUGCUGAGGCGAUAGACGGCAGUUGAGCAAUGUCGGCGUUGAGGAGAGGUAAGAGACGAAGAAAACCCGCAAAAGUCUUAAAAUUCAGCUGAUUUUCGCAGAUCGGGCCGAUUUUUACUGGCAUUUAUGCUACCAAGAGAACAGCUCGCGACUAUGGCGGAUUUAGAGCACAGUGUGAGCCCGGAAGCGGAGGGAAUGGACGGGGACGAUGAGCGGACGGAGACCGAGCUAGCGGAGCACGACUCCCCGGACAGCAAGCGGGAGUGUCACCGUAACGACGGCGGCGAUCACCCCCUGGAGGAGCACCUCAACGAUCGGCGGAGAAAACACCACCGGCGGGGACACCGGGGCUCGGGGGCGGAGGGGAGGAGGCGUUUCCGCCGCAAGUGGAAGCCGUUUGUCAAGCUGAGCUGGGAAGAGAGGAAGGACUUGGAAGAGCGCGAACGGAAACGCGCGAUGCGGGUCCGCGAGAUGAUGUUCGCCGAGGGCCGCACCGUUGCACCCUACAACACCACGCAGUUCCUCAUGGAGGACCACGAAACACAGUCCCCCUUCCACUCACCCAACCUGGAAGUCCUGCAGCGACAGCAGAGCAACGAUACCUCCAACUCGGACGACAUGCCGGACUCCCCCGAGGACGACUUCGGCAUGGAGGCCGGUUUCUUCGAGAAGGACUUUUCGGAGACGUACGAACAGUUUCACGCCGAGAGUCUGAACAACAUGAGCAAGACAGACCUCAUCAGAGAAUACCUGGAGAUGGAGAAAUGCGUGGAGAGACUUGAAGCAAAACUUGAGACGGCAAGCAAGGAGGACAACUCGUCUGAAGACAAGACGACGUCUCCCGUGGGGAACGACAGAGAAAGUGAGCUACGCCGAGAAGUCGAGAGACUCCGCCAAGAAAACGCCAAACUUCAGGCCGAGAACUCUCUCCUAAAGCAAGGCCGACAGAACAGCGCACCCGAGGCAUAGUCUCGCCUGGAGAAAGUCUCACUUGGUAUAUAAAUCUGUGAUAAGUCCAUUGUAGACCUAUAAUGUCACUGUGUCUAGUUUUAUGACAUCAUCCGAGCUUAGUAUUAUUUCAUGCCCUAAUUUGCUAUGUGCAUUUUAAGUAGCUGAUGUGUAUAACGCGCAUACAUUUGUACGUCUUUUAAACAAUACUGUAGUGUUAUGCAGAAAAACACCUACCCCGUACCGGUACUCUUUCUUAAAAAAGCAUUGACAGAAAACAAUGGUGCAUUCAGCAAGAAAUUACAAUGUCUUCAUACAUUUUAUGGUGCAAAGUUUAAUGAUUUGUUUUGUGGUUCUUGUGAUUGAGUCUUUAAAGGUUUUUCCUCCGGUAGCAAAAUGUUGGUUGAUGCCACUUCUGUAGAUGUCUUGUAGUUUGUUUAUGUUUUUGUGUGCACCCUGACACGUACACCUUGCCAGGGGUCCUAUUCAUGCAUUAUUUACCAAGUGACGUCAACUUACCCCUGGGGCCCUUACCCCAUAUUAGAUCUCCCAAAGUACAUUGUAUUGUGAAGCCAACCGCUCUGCUACGAUUCCAUACCCCAAUCCUCAAUACAAAAAUCUUUCACUCGAGAAGGGAACCCAGAAAGGCAUCUGAAAAUCGAUGCUUACAUCCACAACUUGAGUGCUUGGGAUGUGUUUAUUUUUAGCCGCUGCUGGUAUCCUAAGCUAACCAAAUUUAAAGGGGGCAGAGUUGGGGCAUACUAUUUCUAACCGGAGAUAGGGGUGACUUGGUUUGCCUUAUUAUGAAAUUGCCCAUGCAAACUGAGACUUUUUUUUAACAAGACUUUUUUGAUCCAUUGAAUUUCAAACAGGAAUCUGUCCGUAUGUCAGCAGCUCUCAGUUUGCAUACAGACAGCUUCUAAAGUAGGCCAUAUGUUUUCCCUUUGGGUCUGUAAUGGUAUCAAGCAGAGCAGUUGGCUGGCCUGUCAGAUAACAUAAGCUUGCGCCUGUUUGGCCUUAUCGCUAAUGGGUGAUACCACUUCUUACAGUUAUAAAUGCCGUUUCUGGGUGAUAUGGACUGGAUCAAUUGAACGCAGCGUUUCGUCAAAUUUCUUCCAAUAUAGCAAGCUUUUUCUGUUUUUAUAACUUUCACAGUUGAAGAGUUUUGUUCCCACGGCCAUUGAAAUGUGCAGUAAAUGAUGUUUUUGUAGCUGAGGCGGCAGUCCGUCCGGAGUUUAGUGACCUUUGUACAGUGAUGGAGGUGCCUCCAUUGUUCAAGGAGCCUGUUGACGUCCCCUUGUUUGGAUGGGGAGGGGCUAAGGUGUUCAAGUUACAGAGUCUACAAGGGUGUUGUUGUGGCCGGACAUGGAGGCACCUUCAACAUAUUGAUUGCUCACAAAGAAAAUGCUCCCCUUCUCCCAUCUUUUUGGGCGAUGAUUUUUUACUCAAACUCAUGGAAUUGAUUGUAGUAUGACUGUGAGGUGGAUUUGACAGCAAUUUUUGGCAGCUACACGAAACUACCCGCCGUGCUUAAGAUUGUGGAGAGUUUGUAUGUCGAUAUUGUCUGUUUUCUGUCCACGUUUCCUUGCUCUGUGGAGUCAUCUCUACGUUCAUCCAUCCCACUGUACAUGCUAAAUGAACUUUGCCAUCACAUUUUCAAAUGUCUGGAGGCUACUUGACUGCUUCAAAAAGCUUGUGUUGCUGCUACUGUCGUUUUAAAACCUUUGCGUGUAGCUUUCCCCCCAUCACACACUUCAUUUUCCAAGUGCAAUUUCAUCAGCCUCUAUGUUGCUUGUGUCCACAGCCCAUGACCUGUGUGCGACCUGUGACCCAGGGGUCACCUGGCCGGGCCAGAGAGGAUCAUGGGAUGGCUCCCUGGUAUCUCAGCCCCUGGCUGAUCAUGAGGUUGUCAAGAUGUGAGCACUGCAAUUCUGAGGUCUUCAACACGGCAGCCUCACUGUCAAAUAGCUCUAUACAUGUUCUAGGUGAUGUAUUUCCCCUGUAGAGAUAGCGCGUGUGUAUAGUCACAACAUGUUCGGUAGGAAUGUUAGAUAGCUACUGAGGUAUGGAAGGUCUGAAAGACUGCUUUUCCCGUUUUGACACACAGUGGACCAAAAUUUUUUUAAAUGAAAUGUUUAUUGCACAAAGAUCAAGAAAGUUGACAACAUUUUAUAGUUGUAAAGAGCCCUUCCAAGCCAUUGUGGCUGUUAUUAGAGUUAUAUAUAUUGCAUGUUUCUAUGACAAGAAGGGGUCAAUAUUUGAAGGAACGGUAGACAACAUAUUUUGUAUAAUAGAGCACACUUUUCUGACCAAAAAAGGGAGUUGUAGAAUAUCUUCUGAAAGAAGCUCUAUUUUUGUAUAAAAAGAAGCCCAGUAAAGACUGGGUGCCAAAAAAAACAAGAACGAGAAAGCUUGAUCUACCUACGUCUGCAACCAAAGUGUUUGACGCAUCUCAGAACAGCUAUACCUUCCGCAAGUAAUGGCCUCUUUUGUUAAGUCAACAACACAUUCAACAUCUUAGGGAAAACCAGCCAGAAUCCAUUGCAUUUGUCAAUGAAAGGAAACAACAAACGUGUGAAACUGUUCGUCUCUUUUCAAAGCUGAAAUCUUGUGCCAAACAUUGAAAAAAUUCAACUUCUUAACUAACUAGGCUACAGCUGUGCAAUAUACAGUGCCAAAAUUGAGCAAUUUGAAUCAGAAACUGAUUCAAAAUGAAAAUAAAAUUGUCAACUCAAAGUAGUUUAAAACUGCAAAUGUUGAAAGUAGAGUUUGUCAAAGUGGCAUUUGAAUUUGUUGGGUUUCUGACUGGUUCCCUCUAGAAUAUGACAUUUUUUCAAUAAAUGAACUUCAAUGCACUGAAGGAGUAACAUAUAAAAUGGGCAUGGAGUACUGCUCUUUCAUAUGGACACAGCCAGCCAAACAGGAUUUGAACAGGAAUGAUGAUUGUUAAUAAACUUUGCAGAAUUAGGGAACACCUGAAAUGAUGUGACUGUUGGAAAAUGCAAUGUUGAUGAGAAUGAACUUGAAUGGAGAAUGUUUUAACAUGGAAUUUGGCUUCAAUUA
Molecule: RNA transcript, 4011 nt
Organism: Branchiostoma floridae (Florida lancelet)
Lineage: Eukaryota; Metazoa; Chordata; Leptocardii; Amphioxiformes; Branchiostomatidae
Gene name: protein HEXIM1-like
Exons: 2
Source: RefSeq, a predicted model, not a curated record